AUUGAACGCUGGCGGCAUGCCUUACACAUGCAAGUUGAACGGCAGCGCGGACUUCGGUCUGGCGGCGAGUGGCGAACGGGUGAGUGAUACAUCGGAACGUACCCUGUUGUGGGGGAUAACUAGUCGAAAGAUUAGCUAAUACCGCAUACGACCUGAGGGUGAAAGUGGGGGACCGCAAGGCCUCACGCAGCAGGAGCGGCCGAUGUCUGAUUAGCUAGUUGGUGGGGUAAAGGCCCACCAAGGCGACGAUCAGUAGAUGGUCUGAGAGGACGAUCAACCACACUGGGACUGAGACACGGCCCAGACUCCUACGGGAGGCAGCAGUGGGGAAUUUUGGACAAUGGGGGCAACCCUGAUCCAGCAAUGCCGCGUGUGUGAAGAAGGCCUUCGGGUUGUAAAGCACUUUUGUCCGGAAAGAAAUCGCGCUGGUUAAUACCUGGCGUGGAUGACGGUACCGGAAGAAUAAGCACCGGCUAACUACGUGCCAGCCGCCGCAGUAA
This 500-nucleotide ribosomal RNA is filed under the name uncultured bacterium. Its description in RNAcentral is "partial 16S ribosomal RNA". It matches the Rfam family "Bacterial small subunit ribosomal RNA", at positions 30 to 523 of the family's 1533-position model. The record is from RNAcentral.